GUGUCGGAGGUGUAUGUCGACACCCACAAAGGAAAAAGGAGAAACCCUCAAAUUCAGCCCCUUUAAGUCUAAAUUGAAGAUGGAUUCAAGUUGAGAUUGAUGCAUGAACCCGAUUUCUUGAUGAUCUAGUACUCACAAUCAUGUGGAACGUGUCAAGGAGAGCUCAAGCAUAGGAGGAUAACGGGUCAAGAUAAGGCAAGGUGACAAAUACACUUAUUGGAGUACUCAAGGUAAGUGAUUCCGAUUUCACUUCUUAGCUUGUUUAAAUAAGGUAGUGUUCUAGAUAAUUGGGUAUGUUACGAACUCAAUAUGGAUUUGGUUGAAUGAAAACGAUGGUUCUCGCUAAAUAGAUCGAAUGGGUCAAAUAAGGUAUUAUUGUCAUAACAUAAUGAAGUAUAAGUAAGUUCCGAACCGCUUUUCAGUAUUUAGAAAGAUCUGUUAAUUUUGUCAUAUGUUGCGAAUAGUGAGAUAUGUAAGAACGUAAGAUCAAAUGAAGUUCUAAGUUUAGUUUUGUGGUGAUGGGUCAAAAAUGUUAACUAAGUCGGAAAGUGUGUAAUAAAGAUCAAACGGGUCAAAACUAGGAAACGGGGUAAGGUGAGGUUUCGGCCAUUAAGGCAUGGGGAAAGUAUUGGUAUGAUUUGGGACCUUGAAAGGAUGUUACCAUACGUUUGGAACGCUCGUGGUGCAAGUAUAAUCGAUCCCGAUAGCCAAAAAGUAGAAAUUAGCGUCUGGGAUGCAGAAGGGGCGUCGCCGACGUCCCAAAGGACCGUCGGCGACGAUGCUUGGGUGGUUCUGUGCUUACGACGUCCUAAUUUCCUGUCUACGGACUUCUUUCCCGACGGACAAAAUUAGUGGGCGUCGCCGACAGCCUGGUGAGGCGUCGGCGACGGUGCCUUCGUUUCCUGCUUUCUGUUUUCGCCAUGUAGCGCUCUCGGUUGAACUCAUUUCCGUCCGGGUGCUCCGUAAAGACUCCGUAAGCCUUGUUAGGCAUAAGAAAGCACUAACCUUAUUAAAAUAGAUAGCUAUGCACUCAAGUUCAUGUAAAAGUGCGGAUCUUAUAAAUAAUUAAAUGGUGAAAGGAAAUGUGUUAGAACAGUUUAUACGGAUAAAAUGAUAAAACUUGUUCAUAAGAAUGCUUACUUGUGAAUUAUUACGUAUGUUUAUAAUACAAUAGUAGGAGGUGGUUAAGGGAAUAUGACUUUAAUUGCACGUGUUAUAUGUAUUUUGGCAUACAAGAACAUGUACGAUACACAUAGGUAUGAAUACAUGAUUGUAAGUAUAUUUGAAUAUAUGUAGGGAUGUAAACGUGUACGGUUGUAAGUAUGUACGUGUGUAUGUACGUGCGAAUGCAUAAUUUAGAUGUAUUGAGAAUUAACGUUACUAACGACACACUUGAGUUUAGAAUAUAAUGCAUGAAUGAGAAUGACAGAUCCUUAUGAAGUUGAAGCUGAACUCGGAACGAGAGAUUUCAAGAGAAUAGUCGAAUGCUAUACGGAAGUUAAUUGUGUGAGACUAGUGUCGUAUGAGGUUGUCAAUGUCUAAUGAUUUAGUUGUAUGUGAUGUUCACAGGUACCACAUGGAUUCCUUCUUCUACUAACGAAGCUGAGCGGACGUAGAUCGAGUCAAGAGCAAGGGUUGUACGGAAAGAACGGUCAAAUAGUUCGAAAUAUGUAUUGCUUUGAAGCGUCAAUACAAUGUGAAUAUUGUAAAACCCUUCCAGUAAAUGUUUAAUAAAUUGCAUCUGAA
Long non-coding RNA from Helianthus annuus (common sunflower), 1746 nucleotides. RefSeq lists it as uncharacterized. Lineage: Eukaryota; Viridiplantae; Streptophyta; Magnoliopsida; Asterales; Asteraceae. The transcript has 2 exons. The record is from RefSeq and is a predicted model, not a curated record.